CGCGGGGUAGAGCAGUUGGUAGCUCGUCGGGCUCAUAACCCGGAGGCCGUUGGUUCGAAUCCUUCCCCCGCAACCA
RNAcentral lists this transfer RNA (76 nucleotides) under Eubacteriales Family XIII. Incertae Sedis bacterium. RNAcentral's name for it is "tRNA-Met". It matches the Rfam family "tRNA". Rfam says of the family: Transfer RNA (tRNA) molecules are approximately 80 nucleotides in length. The record is from RNAcentral. Lineage: Bacteria; Bacillati; Bacillota; Clostridia; Peptostreptococcales; Anaerovoracaceae.